UGGGGAAUUUUGGACAAUGGGCGAAAGCCUGAUCCAGCAAUGCCGCGUGUGUGAAGAAGGCCUUCGGGUUGUACAGCACUUUUGUCCGGAAAGAAAUGGCUCUGGUUAAUACCUGGGGUCGAUGACGGUACCGGAAGAAUAAGGACCGGCUAACUACGUGCCAGCAGCCGCGGUAAUACGUAGGGUCCAAGCGUUAAUCGGAAUUACUGGGCGUAAAGCGUGCGCAGGCGGUUGUGCAAGACCGAUGUGAAAUCCCCGAGCUUAACUUGGGAAUUGCAUUGGUGACUGCACGGCUAGAGUGUGUCAGAGGGGGGUAGAAUUCCACGUGUAGCAGUGAAAUGCGUAGAGAUGUGGAGGAAUACCGAUGGCGAAGGCAGCCCCCUGGGAUAACACUGACGCUCAUGCACGAAAGCGUGGGGAGCAAACAGG
RNAcentral lists this ribosomal RNA (429 nucleotides) under Bacillota bacterium. RNAcentral's name for it is "Firmicutes bacterium partial 16S ribosomal RNA". It matches the Rfam family "Bacterial small subunit ribosomal RNA", at positions 355 to 776 of the family's 1533-position model. Lineage: Bacteria; Bacillati; Bacillota. The record is from RNAcentral.